ACCGCGCACAUGAUGAUUGAAUUCAUUAAAGUAUAGUUCAUCUGAAAAUCAAUGAUGACUAUUAUUUCGCCCCUAUCUGAUACGCGCU
This 88-nucleotide small nucleolar RNA is filed under the name Pyricularia oryzae 70-15. Its description in RNAcentral is "Magnaporthe oryzae 70-15 Small nucleolar RNA snR60/Z15/Z230/Z193/J17". It matches the Rfam family "Small nucleolar RNA snR60/Z15/Z230/Z193/J17". Rfam says of the family: The members of this family belong to the C/D class of snoRNAs which contain the C (UGAUGA) and D (CUGA) box motifs. Lineage: Eukaryota; Fungi; Ascomycota; Sordariomycetes; Magnaporthales; Pyriculariaceae. The record is from Rfam by way of RNAcentral.